Long non-coding RNA from Alosa sapidissima (American shad), 103 nucleotides. RefSeq lists it as uncharacterized. The record is from RefSeq and is a predicted model, not a curated record. The transcript is spliced from 3 exons. Lineage: Eukaryota; Metazoa; Chordata; Actinopteri; Clupeiformes; Clupeidae.
CUCCCGUGCUGCUGCUGGGACAUUUGGGUUAAAUGGCAUCGGCAUGCAGUUCAACAUCACAUCUCAUUAAGUCCACUAAUAUAUUUCUAAUUUAUGGCAUCAA